AAAGGAAAGAUGUUCCCUGGUGUCAGAUACCCUGGCUAACCAGACCCAGAAGCACAGAGCAGGUGCUUGGCUUUUGUUCCUGGGUCCCUGUGCCCGGCCCCACAGUCCAAAGCCUCUCUAGACAAAAGCCACAGCUCCUGCCUCCUCUGCAUAUCCAGGAUCUGCGUCGACUGAGAAGAGUCUGCUUCCUCCUCCCGACCCCUUGUUUCAAGGCUAGAGAUAACAGAGACGGGAACCACAUCUCAACAGAGGAAACCAGGAAGCAGGACCUCCGAUGCUAAGGAUUUCACCAGACGAGGAUGAGGAUUUUGUCAUUGUCUGAAGAAAACCUUCAAGUGCCCUAAGUAACCUUCUGGUGUCUGGGAAUAGGAUCAACAACCAGGGGAAAGAUCUAAAUCGGCUAUCUGGCUCUGAACCAUCCUGAUGAAGCAUCCUGAUGAACAUCAGAGGCAGCCUUGAAGGAGCAAAGACAGCACCAUAUGGCAGCCUCCCAGGAAUCCAAACUAGAAAAGUGAAAGGGAGCUGCCACCCCCCAGCAGUUCCUAUCAAUACAGCAGUGAAACCCCAUUCUCUCAGCACACCACCUCGCUUUCCAUCUUUCAUGGAAGUCUGGAAGAAGGAUUAUCUGGAGACUCCCAGGGCUCCUAACCCAUUAAGAAGGCUGAAGUCUGGCAACCCCAGCAGGUCAAGUGACUCUUCUCUAAGGUCCACAGGAAAGAGCACUAGGGAGUCUUCCUGUGGAAGAAAUGAGUGUUCAUGGUGAUUCUCAUCCAUCUGCUUUCCUAGGAAGCAAAGACUCCCUGCAGACCUCCCUUGUGGAGUAGGAAGCUGAUUUUGUAGUCUCAAAGAGGCCGUGUAAUUAUUUAUUUACACCCUACUCCUUGCUCUGAAGAUUGGGAGAUGCUCUAGGAUAAAAGCAAAGGUCUAGUAGGGCCAAAACAUUUUUUAAAAAGUUAAAUGGCAUAAAACAAGAAAUGGGAGGCUGGUACGAGGGAAGAAUUUGUAAAUUAAGUUCAGCAAAAGAAACCUACAGUAAAAAAACAAAAAACUUGGUGGCCAGAGUAAAUAGUACAACCAAAGCAUUUAUAAACUAACAGAGCUCUUGUUUCGAAGGUUUGAGAGGUAAGGGUGAGUCAUGCAUGCCUAUGGCUGGAGUUCUCAAGAAAAUUGCACAGCAUGCCUGAGACUUUCCCAUUGGUUUUAGGUGGUUAAAAAUCUUCCAGGAAGGGGGGCACAAUGCCUGUUUUCAAUGCACUCCUGUAUCAUUUACUCUCAUUUUGCCAGGCAAUCAUACCCUAUUAUUAUUAUUUCUUAAUGUGUGUGCAUUGCCUCCUCUAGAUUAUAGACUCCUUGAGGGCAAGAAUUCUAUUUUAUACUUUUUCUAUAUUGUCCUCCAACCUCUAGCCCCUAAAAUAAUAUAAAUUCUUCUUAAAUGGAAAUGGAAAUUCUUAGUCCUGUAGGCCAAAUUACUUAUAAUCUUAAUCUCCACAUAUUCUCUAGUUACUAGAAGACAACAGGGAAGCCCUUUCUCUGUUUGAGUGAGCAGAAUAAGAGAUUAAUGAAAAACUAUAGCUGGAGGGGAAAUAGAGAACAUAAGCUAGAAACGAGAGACAUUCCAGAUAGGAGUUUUCAAGUAGAGGGUUAGGGGUGGAAGAGAUGAACAGUUCUGCAAGGAUUUGAGACCAGAAACACUUCGUGGAGUCACAUUUUCUUUACACUGAUUACAUUCUUAUUCCUAGGCAGAUUAUCUGCCUUGUUCCUUUUUAAUUUCUUGGGAAGGUGCUAAGGCAGACAGUCCUGGAGUAUCCUGCAAAAGAGUACUAGGUGAGAACAGAGCAGGAAGACACAUCAUGGGAAUGGUGGUGAUCAAGCUCAAGUAAGCCAGCAAUGAAUCACUUCCCCGCUGGGUCUUGAGAUGCAGAUAUGCCAGCCAUCCCUAUGAAGCCAUCACUCACCUUAAAAACAAAAAUGAAAAACCCUACUGCCUGGGCUUCCCUGGUGGCGCAGUGGUUGAGAAUCUGCCUGCCAAUGCAGGGGACACGGGUUCGAGCCCUGGUCUGGGAAGAUCCCACAUGCCGCGGAGCAGCUGGGCCCGUGAGCCACAAUUACUGAGCCUGCGCGUCUGGAGCCUGUGCUCCGCAACAAGAGAGGCUGCGAUAAUUAGAGGCCCGCACACCGCGAUGAAGAGUGGCCCCCACUUGCCACAACUAGAGAAAGCCCUCGCACAGAAACGAAGACCCAA
Molecule: long non-coding RNA, 2242 nt
Organism: Balaenoptera acutorostrata (minke whale)
Lineage: Eukaryota; Metazoa; Chordata; Mammalia; Artiodactyla; Balaenopteridae
Exons: 3
Source: RefSeq, a predicted model, not a curated record